This 518-nucleotide ribosomal RNA is filed under the name uncultured bacterium. Its description in RNAcentral is "bacterial SSU rRNA". It matches the Rfam family "Bacterial small subunit ribosomal RNA", at positions 777 to 1297 of the family's 1533-position model. The record is from RNAcentral.
AAUAGAUACCCUGGUAGUCCACGCCGUAAACGAUGAGUGCUAAGUGUUAGAGGGUUUCCGCCCUUUAGUGCUGAAGUUAACGCAUUAAGCACUCCGCCUGGGGAGUACGGCCGCAAGGCUGAAACUCAAAGGAAUUGACGGGGGCCCGCACAAGCGGUGGAGCAUGUGGUUUAAUUCGAAGCAACGCGAGAACCUUACCAGGUCUUGACAUCCUCUGACAACCCUAGAGAUAGGGCUUCUCCUUCGGGAGCAGAGUGACAGGUGGUGCAUGGUUGUCGUCAGCUCGUGUCGUGAGAUGUUGGGUUAAGUCCCGCAACGAGCGCAACCCUUGAUCUUAGUUGCCAUCAUUUAGUUGGGCACUCUAAGGUGACUGCCGGUGACAAACCGGAGGAAGUGGGGAUGACGUCAAAUCAUCAUGCCCCUUAUGACCUGGGCUACACACGUGCUACAAUGGACGGUCAAAGAGCUGCAAGACCGCGAGGUGGAGCUAAUCUCAUAAAACCGGUUCUCAGUUCGGA